AGAAGUCAAAGAAGAUACAAAUAAGUAAAAGCAUAUAUGGUGUACACAGAUAAGAAGAUAACAUCAUUAAAAUGUCCAAUGGCAUAUUUCAGAGAGCUACAACUAAUAUCUCAAAAAUUUGUAUGGAAGUACAAAAAAAAAAUAAAAAAGAAAAGAAAAAACCAACACACACACAAACACACACACACACACACACACACACACACGCGCGCGCGCACAAAUAAAUCAAACAAAAUAAAACUAAACCAGUAGCCACAGUGAUCUUGAGAAAGAAGAACAAAGUUGGAGGAACCCAGCAGCAGAUAAGCGGAGACAAAGCUGUGCUACAUUAACACAACGGAAUACUACUCACCCACACACAAAAAAAGGAAACCUUACCUUUUGGAACAGCAUGGAUGGAGCUGAAAAAUAGCACAUUGUGAAACAUGCUACAACCUGCAUGGAUCCUGAAGACAUGACUCUCAGGGAAAUAAGCCAGUCACAGAAAGACAAAUACUGUGUGAUCACUCUCACAUGAGAUCCCUGGAGCCGUCACAGUCAUAGACAGAGGAACACUGGGCCAGGGUCCUGUCGACAGAGCAGAGUCACUUCUCCGUGUCUUGGUUGGGUCCAGGGCACAGUGCCAAGGAGAGACGCUACCCCAGGACAAGGAUGAAGGAAGGCAGCAUUGUCGUUGGAAGAAGCGCCUUUUAAUCAUCUACAGAUCACAACUGCAGAAACAACACUUAUGCUCCGUUAAAGAUGGCUCCAAUUUACCUGUCAACUAGACUGGGAGACGAAAAAAAGUAACUCUGAACAGUCACAUCAUUCUGGAGCCACAGGAUGGAGCAAGCCAAUGGCCAGCUGUCCACCCAAUGAUGACAACAGGAUUUCAGGACAGAAUAGUGACUGUGGACUCCAGAGAGAAACAGCAGUGGGCUGACUUGGGAUAGAAGUGAGAACCUGACGAGUGACCAGCACAGUGUUUCCCCGGAAAACCAUCCUGUUAUAAGAAGCUUCCACACAGCUCAUGGGGGAAAGGAAUCUAAGGUUCUGAGAGAACCAGAGCUUCUAGCAGAAGGACCUGGAAGGUGGCUGAGAUGCAGGGGGAGAGGAGCUGUGGGUGAGCUGGGCCUGCUCAGAGCACACCCCAGAGGCCAGCAUAGGCUCUGUGCACACUGGUGUUGAGGUCACCUCCAGAGCUGCUGAGACAGAAGUGAGGUGUGAACUUCAUAUGCUCACAGACUGACACAGUGGGCUCUCACCUCUGCCACUCAGUGGUGGGAAGACAGACUGUGGAGCCAGUCCAGUAGGGGCAGCACAUCCAUCACCAGCCUCCUCUGAAGUCUGGAAGGAGAAAGAAACUGCAUGUGAACAGGCACAGGGGUCAAGGGCAAGAGGCCAGGGCUGUAGAGCCCCAGCCUGCAGUCCCACCACACCCUGCACUUUACUUUCAAGUACAAGCUCAUUUUUGCAAAUAGCACAUUUUUGCAACAGUAAGAAUUGUAGGUUUGACUUUGAAGAAAAAACUAACUCAAAUUACAUUAGAGAUUUCAA
Molecule: long non-coding RNA, 1536 nt
Organism: Eptesicus fuscus (big brown bat)
Lineage: Eukaryota; Metazoa; Chordata; Mammalia; Chiroptera; Vespertilionidae
Exons: 6
Source: RefSeq, a predicted model, not a curated record